CGCACGGGUGAGUAACACGUAUCCAACCUGCCUGACACAGGGGGAUAAUCCGAAGAAAUUUGGUCUAAUACCCCAUAAUACCGAUAUAGGCAUCUAUGUUGGUUGAAAGCUUUGGUGGUGUCAGAUGGGCAUGCGUUGUAUUAGCUAGUUGGUGAGGUAACGGCUCACCAAGGCGACGAUACAUAGGGGGACUGAGAGGUUAACCCCCCACACUGGUACUGAGACACGGACCAGACUCCUACGGGAGGCAGCAUG
Molecule: ribosomal RNA, 255 nt
Filed under: uncultured bacterium
Lineage: Bacteria
Description: partial 16S ribosomal RNA
Rfam family: Bacterial small subunit ribosomal RNA
Source: RNAcentral